This 309-nucleotide ribosomal RNA is filed under the name uncultured Rickettsiales bacterium. RNAcentral's name for it is "SSU rRNA". It matches the Rfam family "Bacterial small subunit ribosomal RNA", at positions 29 to 367 of the family's 1533-position model. Lineage: Bacteria; Pseudomonadati; Pseudomonadota; Alphaproteobacteria; Rickettsiales. The record is from RNAcentral.
AUGAACGCUGGCGGCAUGCCUAACACAUGCAAGUCGAACGAGAUCUUCGGAUCUAGUGGCGCACGGGUGAGUAACGCGUGGGAACCUACCUUUUAGUACGGGACAACGUUUGGAAACGAACGCUAAUACCGUAUACGCCCUCCGGGGGAAAGGUCAGCCGCUAAAAGAGGGGCCCGCGUCUGAUUAGCUUGUUGGUAAGGUAAUGGCUUACCAAGGCUACGAUCAGUAGCUGGUCUGAGAGGAUGAUCAGCCACACUGGGACUGAGACACGGCCCAGACUCCUACGGGAGCAGCAGUGGGGAAUAUUGG